CUCCUUUGAAUAAAGCAGGUAAGUUGACUCAUAUUUUAAAAUGAUUUCAUACUGAAGCUGACAACUUCCUAAAAUAUCCUAAUAGAUUACUUUUCAAUUCUUGCUUCAUUACAUUGUUUUGAAUUCAACACCACCCACUAAAGUUUCACAAUGGGUACACAAAACAUGCAUGUCAUUUAAAGUUAAUAUAUCUUUCCAACACGGUCAGCAUGUUUUCCAUUGACGAGAGCAGCAGUCAGGAUGAAUAAUAACUAACGAAUAUCAGUAAGCAAAAACUAUUAUAAUUACAAACAAAAUCGAUCCAAAUUUGUAAUUUUUUUAUUUUUUAUUUUUGUCAGUAGUCAGGCUUUUAUAAUCCCUGUACAUCACCACCUGACUAUGAUUUUAAGGGGUUUGGUAUAUACAAACCAAAAAAUUGAAUUAUUGAUUCAUAAUAACAAAAAGUAAAUAAAUGUACAGAGUAGACAAAAAGAAAAAGAAAAAAUAUACGGCAGUUGCUUUUUUAUAUGCAAAUUUAUAACAAAAAUCUUCCCAUAGAGUUGUAAUACCGCUAAAUCAUAGUACGUCACAUCUAGUUGCAUACGAAAAGGGGUAGAACAAAAUAUUCCCUUGAAUUUGACAGCUGUAUUAAUCCUGCAUUUCAUUGCAGUAAAACAUUUCUGAGUCCUACACACAUAUCUUGGGUGGUUCAGAGCACCAUUGUUUUUUUUAUUCGGUGUUUCAAUAAAAUAGUUUGAAAAUUGAAGUUACAUGGUCACUAAAUCUUGUAAACAUGAAAGAAAGGGGUGGACAUUUGAUUGAUUUACUACAAGUGCUGGUUAUUAUCUCAUAUACGAUGAAAUGUUAUGUGAAAUUUUGUCUAUAGUACUGGACAGGAUAAAUCUUUACUCAUACCCAGUAGUUCUUUAUUUGAAACAAAGAUAGAUUUUGCUCAAUUAAAAAAAACAUGCAAAUUUAACAAAGAAUAAAAGGGAAAAAUAAUGGUGGUAUUACACCUAGAUAUUAUGUAAGUACACAAUGUGUCAAUCGAACAUUGAACACAACUAUAGAUCAAUAUACAAAUAUACUACUAGAUGCAUUUUACAACACACUAUAGAAGAAGUUAAUAACGGUAAUGACAAGACUCUAGAGAUGACAGAGCAUUUUCAUUGACAAACAAGAUUAGUAUACACUCUAGACAUAAAUUAUACAUAUCUGUUUACAAAAUUGAAUGUUAUGUAAAAUAUAUAAAACUAACCCCACGUGUCUGCUAUUAUGAUAACAAAGGAAUAUUGACGCUUGCCGAUCUUACAGCAAUAGCUGUUGAUUCUCAUUGGUAUAUGAUUUCUUGUCGACUUCAUUGUUGGCUCGUGUUUCUUAAUCAUCAGUUUUCUGUGUGGUUGACUGAUGUUUACGCAAACAAAAAAAUCCGGGUGACAAACUAAAAUUGGAGAAAACACAUCCUCUAUAAGAGGAAAACAAUGGAACAACAGAACCACUGAACUACAACAAAAGCAAACGCCAACUUAAAAAAAGAGCUGUCUGAUAACAACUGCCAUUUUCCUGACUUGGUACAGGACAAUCUAAGAAAAAAAUAUUAGUUUAAAAUCGGUUUUAUAGCUAGCUUAACCUCCCGUUUAUAUGGCAAUGUUAAAAAGACGUUAACACGUGAAGUUGUC
RNAcentral lists this long non-coding RNA (1658 nucleotides) under Mytilus galloprovincialis (Mediterranean mussel). Lineage: Eukaryota; Metazoa; Mollusca; Bivalvia; Mytilida; Mytilidae. The record is from RNAcentral.